AUAAAAAUUGAAAAGAUGGCACUCAAAGACCUUAGUUGUCAAAUCACCAAAGACAAAAGUACUUUUAGGCCAAGAAACAAAGAAAGGACAUACUUGUUUCAGGCCAUUUUUUGCCCUUUCCAGUUUCCACCUGCCGGAGACGCUACACACACACAAAGUGCACUUAUUGGUGGCUUCCAACAGACUUCUCCAGCUAUGGAGCUACACAAUCACAAUGCUCCUGAUGGACCUCAUCUUGUUCAAGUUCAUAAUGAAAGACUUAAGGAUAUGAUUUCUGGAGGCUCAGAAGACCUUGAUUCCUGGAACUCACUGAUAUCAGAGAUUGAGAAAACCUACCCUGAUGAUAGAAAUACGAUUUGUUUGGCUUUUGACUCCUUUUUGUCUAAAUUUCCACUGUGCCACUGGAAUUGGAAAAGAUACGCUUAUCACGAGGCACGGCUAUGUAAUGCUGAAAAAGCUGUUGAAAUCUUUGAGCGAGCUGUGGAAUCAACACCAUUUUCUGUUGGUCUGUGGGUUGACUAUUGUACCUUUGCUAUGAGUUCGUUCGAGGAUCCAUUUGAUAUUCGUAGGUUAUUUACCAAAGGAAUCUCCCUUGUUGGGAAGGACUACUUCUGUCAUGUCUUAUGGGACAAGUACAUGUCCUUUGAGUUCUCUCAGGAGAAGUGGGGUUCCCUUGCUCUAGUUUAUGUACAGGCUCUAUGCUUUCCCACAAAGAAGUUGCAUAAGUACUACGAGAAUUUUAAGAAGCUUGUAACCAAUUUAGAAGAGGAGAUUCUACAUCUCAGUGAUGACAGCCGUGAUGUACAACUAAAAGAGCUAUCCAGUGCAACAGCUGUGUUAUUGAAUAAAGAAAUUGUUCAAGUUGUUAAGGACCUCCAGGAUCCUAGUGAUGAUUCAGUCAGGUUGAAAGCACUAUAUAAGUACAGAUACUGUGGAGAUCAGCUGUACCAGAAAGCUUGUCAACUAGAGGAAAAAAUUAAAAGUUUUGAAUCAAACAUCCAGAGGCGAUAUUUCCAGGCAACUCCUCUUGACAACGAUGAGCUGAAGAACUGGCAUGAUUAUCUCGACUUCAUCGAAAAACAAGACGAUUUUGAUUGGGCCCUAAAACUUUAUGAGAGGUGCUUGAUAUCCUGUGCCAACUACCCCGAGUUCUGGAUACGUUAUGUGGAUUUCAUGGAGACUAAGGGAGGACGAGAGCUAUCGAUGUUUGCUUUAGAACGAGCAACAAAAGUUUUCUCAAAGAAUGUUCCAGAAAUCCAUCUUUUUACUGCUAGAUAUAUGGAGCAAAUUGGAGAUCCAGAUGGUGCUCGUGCUUCCUUUCCUCCUAUUAAUACAGAUUGGGACUCCUGUUUCAUUCAAUAUGUUACCAAUCGAGCCAAUAUGGAAAAACGUCUGGGAAAUUGCUCAGCUGCUUCUGAUAUCUACAAAAGAGCAAUUAAUAUGGUAGUGAAGGAGCAGAAAUUGCAAUGCAUUCCGAUGCUAUACAUUGGUUAUUAUCGUCUAACACACAUGAUCACUGCUAGUCUGGAGGUUGCAAGAGAUGUAAUAAUUGAUGGAAUAAAGCGUUUCCCUGGUUGCAGACUUCUUUAUGAGGAAUUGAUAAGAUUUGCGAUGGCACAUGAAGGAACUAAGCAACUGAGCAUAGUAGACUCUGUCAUAGCUAAUGCAAUCUCUCCUGUGUCAGAUGUAUCCCAAGAUUUGGAUAUAAAAGAUCGAGAGAGUAUUUCUAUAUUAUUUUUGGAGUUUGUUGAUCUUUGUGGUUCUAUCUCUGAGAUAAGAAAGGCAUGGAGUCGUCACAUCAAAUUGUUUCCUCAGUUCAUAAGAACCAAUACCUCAUCAAAACACAUAGGUACUGAGAAGAGUUCACUGAACAGCUUUACUGAACAAAGGAGAAACAUUUCCUAUGUCUUAGUUAAUCAGCCAUCAAAAGGACCAAGCUCUGGCCACAUGAUCCAGCUGUCCAAAGGAGAGCAGGCACAGUUACCGCCGCUUAAAGAUGGGAAGCAACCAGAUCAGCUUUCUGCAGAGCCGUCUCUAGCUGUGGUCAAGGGAAAAGAUGCAACUGGUAAACAAGAACAGAUAUCUCCCGAAGUGGAAGAUUUAUCCAGUGGAAAUGGCUCUGGGAAAAAUGAGUUAUCUUUUGACCCUCUUGUUCAAUCAAAGGAUGAUUCCUCAACGCCAAUGGAACUAAGUCAUGGUCCAUCACAGCAGAGGAGAGACGAUUUGGCUGGACCAAUGGACUUCUCUUAUGAUUCCAUACCGCAACCUGGAGAAGAUGUAUCCAAGUCUCCUGGGCCAGUUCUGGACUUUAAAGAGCCCUCAAGGCCCCUUUCUGUUUUAGAAGCCUCACAAGAACGUCCAAGUUCAGAAAUUAUCAAUCAAGAUCAGGAUGUUGAACUUGAACAGCCACCGGUGCCGGUUUCUUUGGAGAAUCUUUCCUUAAUCUCUGGGGAAAGGGAAUCCCAGGAUUUGGUCGCCAUGCAUUCUGAUGAUCUUAAAGGUGGUGAAGAAAUUCCCUCAUCAAGCACAGGCAGACCACCAGAUCCUGUAAAUGAUGGAGAUGGACCAGCUAGCUGUUCAUCUCCAGGUCCUGUUACUGCGGGAAGUUCACAGCAAAUAUAUGAUACAGCAGCAGUUCCUGAGAGCGGUAGUUCAAAGGUGUCCAAUCAACCGGCAGGAUAUGAUCAGCAACAGCAAUCACAACGAGCUGAUUCGCAAGAACCGCGCUUGCUUGAUUCUCAGGGUGAUUCGCAGUUCCAACAGGUCCUGGAUAAGGCUCCUGUCCAUAGUCAAUCGGGUACUUCUCAGGGGAAUAUCCCGGGUAAUGAAUGCUGGACAUUAAAUAAUAUGCCACAGCAGAUCUCCAUGUCUGGAAACCAUCUCCAGGCGUCUUCCUCGCCUGUUUCUUAUUCUCAACCAAGUCCAGCUCAUUAUUCUGCGCACAAUAGCCAGCAAAUUGGGCCCAAUCCCCAUCACGAAGCCUUGAAUCAAACAUCACAACACAUCUCCCUAUCAGAAAACCACCCUCAAAUGUCUUCCCCACAUGCUUCUUUUUCUGAACCUAGUACACCUCAACAUUCUGGGCAGAGUAGCCAGCAAAUUGGGCCUUCACACCACCAGGAAGCAUUGAAUCAAACAUCACAACACUAUUACCAGCAGCAGCAUCUUUCGCACGGACAGUAUCAACAGCAUCAGUUGCAAAUGCAACAGCCCUACACUAGUAUACAGCAGCAACAGAUGCAUCCACAUCCAAGUCAACUGCUGUAUCAGCAGCAGCAGCUUAAUCUGCAACAACAACAGCAACAGAGUCAGCAGCAAACACUUCUAUUGCAACAGCAACAGUAUUUCCAGCAAAUUCAGUCUUUACCAUAUCAACAGCAGCAAUAUCUUCACCAGCUACAAUAUUCACAGCAGGCACAGCAACUAUGGCAACAGCAAUUUCAACAGCAAGCACAACAGAUGCAACCACAGGAAGGCCAGCAAACGCAGCAGCAGCUGGAGCAAUAUCGUCAGUCACAAGAACUUGCAUACCAGAUGCAACAGCAUGGUUAUCAACUACUCAUGCACCAGUACCAAGUACGUCAACAAGGAUGUCAGAGCAUGCAACAACAACAACAAUGGCAACAACAGGGAAAUCUCCAAUUACAGCAAUACUCUCACCUACAACAGCAGCAAUAUCAUCAUCGGGAUCAGCAAACGGACGAGGAAUACAAUCAAACUCAUCAGGUUCCUUCCUAUAGUUGCUUCUAUUAUUGUAUUGCUAUCUAAUGAUGGUUUUUUUGUCUAAACAAAUGGAAGAGGAAAACCAUAUAGAUAUUAUAUAGGAUACCUUAGGCUAUUUAGAAUUUAAUCAUAAAAUAUUUAGUCACCUUAUGAGCAUACGGAUUUAUUACCUGCCAUAUUAUGUAUAGCUCAAGAUUGCUGUAUAAGGAUAACCUUUGUACAUUGUUUAUCAGGUGAAUGAGAAGGUUUUCUAUUUUUACAUAAAUGUGGUUGACACUCAUUCCAUUACUUAAGUUUGAAAAAUACCUCCACAAAUUUUAACUGCAUGUUCUCUAGAGUGUGUGCACCGCAAGUUAGAAAGGAAGCGAACUACAGUAUGAAGUAUCUACUGUGAGAGGCCCAUGAAGUGAAUCAUGGCAAUUAGGGUUGAUUCUAAUUUGGCAGGAUUAGUUGAAGAAAGAAAAAAGGAGCUCCAUGCUAGCUCUUAGAAUGAAAGUAUUCUCAUCUAUUUAAGAGAUGGAGUUCAUAUCCCACAUCAUGACAGUAAAUUCACAUGAUAUAGCGAUGGUAACAGCAGUUCAGCAUCAAUAGUUGACAGGGUCUUGAUCUCCGCAAAGUAUGUCCAAGUACAUUAAACUGUGACAUUGUUGAGAGCCUUAUUUGAUCAUAUACUUGUAACACUAGACUGUGGGGAGCGAAGCGAAGAAAGUGUAAAUCCUAUUGUCGUUUUAAAAUUUGUGACUGCCAAGGGCCUUGUGGAGCAAGUGAAGAGCUGAUGGUUUUGCGUCAAGUCUUCUAAUUGACUCAAACAGAUAAUAGUUGCUAUCAGUACUCUCUGUGGGUAUAGGGUAAACACGUUGCGGUGCAAUAUUCUUCAGGAACUCCUGCUGCUGAAUCAGAAUCACCAGAAAUUGCAAAGGAACCACAUUCGGCAGAAAAAUUUAGACGUUCUGUAUCCCCUUAUAGGCGGCCUCCUGCUCGUGG
This is an RNA transcript of Lycium barbarum (goji berry), 4707 nucleotides long. It is a transcript of the gene named pre-mRNA-processing factor 39-2, with no coding region annotated. NCBI's taxonomy places the organism in Eukaryota, Viridiplantae, Streptophyta, Magnoliopsida, Solanales, Solanaceae. The transcript is spliced from 12 exons. The record is from RefSeq and is a predicted model, not a curated record.